Molecule: ribosomal RNA, 252 nt
Filed under: uncultured bacterium
Lineage: Bacteria
Description: partial 16S ribosomal RNA
Rfam family: Bacterial small subunit ribosomal RNA
Source: RNAcentral
UACGGGGGGAGCAAGCGUUGUUCGGAUUUACUGGGCGUAAAGAGCGUGUAGGCGGCUAGGUAGGUCCGUUGUGAAAACUCGAGCUCAACCUCGAGACGCCGGUGGAAACCAUCUAGCUAGAGUCCGGAAGAGGAGAGUGGAAUUCCUGGUGUAGCGGUGAAAUGCGCAGAUAUCAGGAAGAACACCCGUGGCGAAGGCGGCUCUCUGGGACGUGACUGACGCUGAGACGCGAAAGCGUGGGGAGCGAACAGG